AAGUCGUAACAAGGUUUCCGUAGGUGAACCUGCGGAAGGAUCAUUACCCUUUUUUACGGGGGGCCGGAUCCAAAGUUUGGGGCCUCGGUCUCACUCUUUGCCCCGCCCUGUCUGAAUCUACCCAUGUUUUUUGCGUACUUUCUGUUUCCUUGGUGGGCUUGCCCGCCACAAGGACACUAUAACAACCUUUUUGCAAUUGCAGUCAGCGUCAGAAAACAAUAAUAUUCAA
Molecule: unclassified non-coding RNA, 229 nt
Filed under: plant metagenome
Description: partial contains small subunit ribosomal RNA and internal transcribed spacer 1
Rfam family: Eukaryotic small subunit ribosomal RNA (bases 1-46)
Source: RNAcentral